GAAUUCACUAGUGAUUCAGGCCUAACACAUGCAAGUCGAACGAUGACUUUUGUGCUAGCACAAAAUGAUUAGUGGCGAACGGGUGAGUAACACGUGAGUAACCUGCCCUUAACUUCGGGAUAAGCCUGGGAAACCGGGUCUAAUACCGGAUACGACCUCCUGACGCAUGUCAUGGGGGUGGAAAGCUUGAUGCGGUUUUGGAUGGACUCGCGGCCUAUCAGCUAGUUGGUUGGGGUAAUGGCCCACCAAGGCGACGACGGGUAGCCGGCCUGAGAGGGUGACCGGCCACACUGGGACUGAGACACGGCCCAGACUCCUACGGGAGGCAGCAGUGGGGAAUAUUGCACUAUGAGGGAAAGCCUGAUGCAGCA
RNAcentral lists this ribosomal RNA (371 nucleotides) under uncultured bacterium. Its description in RNAcentral is "bacterial SSU rRNA". It matches the Rfam family "Bacterial small subunit ribosomal RNA", at positions 46 to 392 of the family's 1533-position model. The record is from RNAcentral.